CUCCUGCUGCCUGAGACUCCGAGAGCCGCUCUCCCAGGCUCCCCGCUGCAGCGGCGGGGCUGCCAGGGGCGGCACACUCCAGCGCCAGCCAGAGAGCUAGCGCCGCUUGAGGCCGGCCGGGGACGAGGCGCUUUACACUGCCUGAUGGGUACUAGCAGCCCACCCCAGCCAGAUGGAGGACAAGGCCUCUCCAAGUCUCAAGGAAAUGCACAAUCCUUCCUUACCUCUGGCCUCAGAACUCUCAGCAUCUCAUUGAUUAGCAACCUCAUCUGUGGCAAAUCUAAGGAACACCUUCUACUUAAAAUUGAAGUCUUCUGGGCUGGGUGUGGUGGCUCAUUCCUGUAAUCCCAGCACUUUGGGAGGCCAAGGAGUGCGGAUCACGAAGUCAGGAGUUCGAGACCAGCCUGGCCAACAUAGUGGAACCCUGUCUCUACUAAAAAUACAAAAAUUAGCCGGGUGUGGUGGCACAUGCCUGUAGUCCCAGCUACUCGGGAGGCUGAGAAGAUAGAAAAGUCAGGUUUACAGAAACAUGGAAAUACAUCAUUGAUUAUCAAUUUUUGUUAUACUGGAGAACAUUUGGAGAUUUGUAUAUUUUUGAGGGAUGAGUUAGAAAUGAUGGCUUUAGUGUUUACUAGCAUAAUUUGCAUGUGAAACUUCUGACAUAAAUGAAAUAUAACUGCAUAUAUGUCUCCUGUCAGGCCUCUGAGCCCAAGCUAAGCCAUCAUAUCCCCUGUGACCUGCACGUACACAUCCAGAUGGCCGGUUCCUGCCUUAACUGAUGACAUUCCACCACAAAAGAAGUGAAAAUGGUCUGUUCCUGCCUUAACUGAUGACAUUGUCUUGUGAAAUUCCUUCUCCUGGCUCAUCCUGGCUCAAAAGCUCCCCCACUGAGUACCUUGUGAUCCCCACUCCUGCCCACCAGAAAACAACCCCCUUUGAGGACAUGCAUGAAAUUUGGUGCCGUGACUCAGAUCGUGACCUCCCUUGGGAGGUCCUCCUGUUCUUUGCUCCUUGAGAAAGAUCCACCUAUGGUCCUCAGACCGACCAGCCCAAGAAACAUCUCACCAAUUUCAAAUCUGGUAAGCGGCCUCUUCUUACUCUCUUCUCCAACCUCCCUCACUAUCCCUCAACCUCUUUCUCCUUUCAAUCUUGGUGCCACACUUCAAUCUCUCCCUUCUUUUAAUUUCAAUUCCCUUCAUUUUCUGGUAGAGACAAAGGAGACACGUUUUAUCCGUGGACCCAAAACUCCGGCGCCGGUCACGGACUGGGAAGGCAGCCUUCCCUUGGUGUUUAAUCAUUGCAGGGACGCCUCUCUGAUUAUUCACCCAGGUUUUAGAGGUGUCAGACCACGCAGGGACGCCUGCCUUAGUCCUUCACCCUUAGCGGCAAGUCCUGCUUUUCUAGGGGAGAGGCAAGUACCCCAACCCCUUCUCUCUGUGUCUCUACCCCUUCUCCACCUUUCUGGGGGGCAAGAAACCCGUAACCCCUUCUUCUUCACUCUUAGCAGCAAGUCCCGCUUUUCUAGAGGGGCAAGUACCCCAACUUCAUAUCUCUGCACCCCAAUCCCUUAUUUCCAUGCCCCAACCUCUUAUCUCUGUGCCCCAAUCCCUUAUUUCCACGCCCCAACCCCUUUCCUGCUUUUCUGGAAGGUAAGAACCCCCGAACCCCUUCCCUCUGUGUCUCUACUCUCUCUUUUCUCUAGGCUUGCUUCCUUCACUAUGGGCAACCUUCCACUCUCCAUUCCUCCUUCUUCUCCCUUAGCCUGUGUCCUCAAAAACUUAAAACCUCUUCAACUCACACCUGACCUAAAAUCUAAGCAUCUUAUUUUCUUCUGCAAUACCGCUUGACCCCAAUACAAACUCGACAGUAGUUCCAAACAGCCGGAAAACGGCACUUUCAAUUUUUCCAUCCUACAAGAUCUAAAUAAAUCUUGUUGUAAAGUGGGCAAAUGGUCUGAGGUGCCUGACGUCCAGGCAUUCUUUUACACGUCGGUCCCUCUCUAGUCUCUGUUCCCAAAGCAACUGUUCCCAAAUCUUCCUUCUUUCCCUCCCACCUGUCCCCUCAGUCCCAACCCCAAGCGUCGCUGAGUCUUUCUAAUCUUCCUUUUCUACAGACCCAUCUGACCUCUCCCCUCCUCCCCAGGCUGCUCCUCGCCAGGCCGAGCUAGGUCCCAAUUCUUCCUCAGCCUCCGCUCCUCCACCCUAUAAUCCUUUUAUCACCUCCCCUCCUCACACCUGGUCCGGCUUACAGUUUCUUUCUGUGACUAGCCCUCCCCCACCUGCCCAUCGGUGGCUGGAGCUAAAGGCAUAGUCAAGGUUAAUGCUUCUUUUUCUUUAUCCCAAAUCAGAUAGCAUUUAGGCUCUUUUUCAUCAAAUAUAAAAAUCCAGCCCAGUUCAUGGCUCCUUUGGCAGCAACCCUGAGACACUUUACAGCCCUAGACCCUAAAAGGUCAAAAGGCCGUCUUAUUCUCAAAAUACAUUUUAUUACCCAAUCUGCUCCCAACAUUAAAUAAAACUCCAAAAAUUAAAUUCCGGCCCUCAAACCCCACAACAGAAUUUAAUUAACCUCACCUUCAAGGUGUACAAUAAUAGAAAAAAGUUGCAAUUCCUUGCCUUCACUGUGAGACAAACCUCAGCCACGUCUCCAGCACACAAGAACUUCCAAACGCCUGAACCUCAGCGGCCAGGCAUUCCUCCAGAACCUCCUCCCCCAGGAGCUUGCUACAAGUGCCAGAAAUCUGGCCACCAGGCCAAGGAAUGCCUGCAGCCCAGGAUUCCUCCUAAGCCACGUCCCAUCUGUGCGGGACCCCACUGGAAAUUGGACUGUCCAACUCACCUGGCAGCCACUCCCAGAGCCCCUGGAACUCUGGCCCAAGGCUCUCUGACUGCUUCCCAGAUCUUCUUGGCUUAGUGGCUGAAGACUAACGCUGCCCGAUCGCCUCGGAAGCCCCCUAGACCAUCACGGACGCUGAGCUUCGGGUAACUCUCACAGUGGAGGGUAAGUCCGUCCCCUUCUUAAUCAAUACUGAGGCUACCCACUCCACAUUACCUUCUUUUCAAGGGCCUGUUUCCCUUGCCUCCAUAACUGUUGUGGGUAUUGACAGCCAGGCUUCUAAACCUCUUAAAACUCCCCAACUCUGGUGCCAACUUAGACAAUACUCUUUUAGGCACUCCUUUUAGUUAUCCCCACCUGCCCAGUUCCCUUAUUAGGCCGAGACACUUUAACUAAAUUAUCUGCUUCCCUGACUAUUCCUGGAUUACAGCUAUAUUUCAUUGCCUCCCUUCUUCCCAAUCCAAAGCCUCCUUUGCAUCCUCUUGUAUUCCCCGACCUUAACCCACAAGUAUAAGAUACAUCUACUCCCUCCUUGGCGACCGAUCAUGCACCCCUUACCAUCUCAUUAAAACCUAAUCACCCUUACCCCACUCAAUGCCAAUAUCCCAUCCCGCAGCAUGCUUUGAAAGGAUUAAAGCCUGUUAUCGCUCGCCUGCUACAGCAUGGCCUUUUAAAGCCUGUAAACUCUCCUUACAAUUCCCCCAUUUUACCUGUCCAAAAACCGGACAAGUCUUACAGAUUAGUUCAGGAUCUGUGCCUUAUCAACUAAAUUGUUUUGCCUAUCCAUCCUGUGGUGCCCAACCCGUACACUCUUUUGUCCUCAAUACCUUCCUCCACAACUCACUAUUCCGUUCUCCAUCUUAAAGAUGCUUUUUUCACUAUUCCCCUGCACCCCUCGUCCCAGCCUCUCUUUGCUUUCACUUAGACUGACACUGACACCCAUCAGGUUCAGCAAGUCACCUGGGCUGUACUGCCGCAAGGCUUCACAGACAGCCCCCAUUACUUCAGUCAAGCCCAAAUUUCAUCCUCAUCUGUUACCUAUCUCGGCAUAAUUCUCAUAAAAGCACACGUGCUUUCGCUGCUGAUCGUGUCCAAUUAAUCUCCCAAACCUCAAUCCCUUACAAAACAACAACUCCUUUCCUUCCUAGGCAUAGUUAGUGCGGUCAGAAUUCUUACACAAGAGCCAGGACUGCACCCUGUAGCCUUUCUGUGCAAACAACUUGACCUUACUGUUUUAGCCUAGCCCUCAUGUCUGCGUGCAGUGGCUGUCGCUGCUUUAAUACUUUUAGAGGCCCUAAAAAUCACAAACUAUGCUCAACUCACUCCCCACAUUUCUCAUAACUUCCAAAAUCUAUUUUCUUCCUCAUACCUGAAGCAUAUACUUUCUGCUCCCCGGCUCCUUCAGCUGUACUCACUCUUUGCUAAGUCCCACAAUUACCACUGUUCCUGGCCUAGACUUCAAUCCGGCCUCCCACAUUAUUCCUGAUACCACACCUGACCCCCAUGACUGUAUCUCUCUGAUCCACCUGACAUUCACCCCAUUUCCCCAAAUUUCCUUCUUUCCUGUUCCUCACCCUGAUCAUGCUUGAUUUAUUGAUGGCGGUUCCACCAGGCCUAAUCGCCACACACCAGCAAAGGCAGGUUAUGCUAUAGUACAAGCCACUAGCCCGCCUCCUAGAACCUCUCAUUUCCUUUCCAUCGUGGAAAUCUAUCCUCAAGGAAAUAACUUCUCAGUGUUCCAUCUGCUAUUCUACUACUCAUCAGGGAUUAUUCAGGCCCCCUCCCUUCCCUACACAUCAAGCUCGAGGAUUUGCCCCACCCAGGACUGGCAAAUUAGCUUUACUCAACAUGCCCCGAGUCAGAUAACUAAAAUACCUCUUAGUCUAGGUAGACACUUUCACUGGAUAGGUAGAGUCCUUUCCUACAGGGUCUGAGAAGGCCACCGCAGUCAUUUCUUCCCUUCUGUCAGACAUAAUUCCCCAGUUUAGCCUUCCCACCUCAAUACAGUCUGAUAACAGAUGAGCCUUUAUUAGUCAAAUCAGCCAAGCAGUUUUUCAGGCUCUUAGUAUUCAGUGAAACCUUUAUAUCCCUUACGGUCCUCCGUCUUCAAGAAAAGUAGAAUGGACUAAAGGUCUUUUAAAAACACACCUCACCAUGCUCAGCCACCAACUUGAAAAGGACUGGACAAUACUUUUACCACUUUCCCUUCUCAGAAGUCAGACCUGUCGUCAGAAUGCUACAAGGUACAGCCCAUUUGAGCUCCUGUAUAGACGCUCCUUUUUAUUACGCCCCAGUCUCAUUCCAGACACCAGACCAACUUAGACUGUGCCCCCCAAAAACUUGUCAUCCCUACUGUCUUCUGUCUAGUCAUACUCCUAUUCACCGUUCUCAACUACUCAUACAUGCCCUGCUCUUGUUUACACUGCCGGUUUACCCUGUUUUUCCAAGCCAUCACAGCUGAUAUCUCCUGGUGCUAUCCCCAAACUACCACUCUUAACUCUUGAAGUAAAUAAAUAAUCUUUGCUGGCAGGACUACGCUGAAUCUCCUUAGGCACUCUAAUUAGAUGUCCUAGGUCCUCCCAAUUCUUAGACCUUUAAUACCUGUUUUUCUCCUUCUGUUAUUCCAUUUAGUUUUUCAGUUCAUACAAAACCGUAUCCAGGCCAUCACCAAUAAUUCUAAAUGACAAAUGUUUCUUCUAACAACCCCACAAUAUCACCCCUUACCACAAAAUCUUCCUUCAGCUUAAUCUCUCCCACUCUAGGUUCCCACGCCGCCCCUAAUCCCGCUCGAAGCAGCCCUGAGAAACAUCACCAAUUAUCUCUCCAUACCACCCCCCAAAAUUUUCGCCGCCCCAACACUUUACCACUAUUUCAUUUUAUUUUUCUUUUUAAUAUAAGACAGGAAUAUCAGGCCUGUGAGCCCAAGCUAAGCCAUCAUAUCCCCUGUGACCUGCACGUACACAUCCAGAUGGCCGGUUCCUGCCUUAACUGAUGACAUUCCACCACAAAAGAAGUGAAAAUGGCCUGUUCCUCCCUUAACUGAUGACAUUGUCUUGUGAAAUUCCUUCUCCUGGCCCAUCCUGGCUCAAAAGCUCCCCCACUGAAUACCUUGUGACCCCCACUCCUGCCCACCAGAGAACAAUCCCCUUUGACUGUAAUUUUCCUUUAUCUACCCAAAUCCCAUAAAACAGCCCCACCCCUAUCUCCCUUUGCUGACUCUCUUUUCGGACUCAGCCCGCCUGCAC
RNAcentral lists this long non-coding RNA (6077 nucleotides) under Homo sapiens (human). Its description in RNAcentral is "non-protein coding P3H2-AS1:7". The record is from RNAcentral. Lineage: Eukaryota; Metazoa; Chordata; Mammalia; Primates; Hominidae.